This 375-nucleotide ribosomal RNA is filed under the name uncultured organism. RNAcentral's name for it is "bacterial SSU rRNA". It matches the Rfam family "Bacterial small subunit ribosomal RNA", at positions 526 to 896 of the family's 1533-position model. The record is from RNAcentral.
CGUAGGGUCCGAGCGUUAUCCGGAAUCAUUGGGCGUAAAGAGCUCGUAGGCGGUUCAGCAAGUCGGCUGUGAAAGUCCGGGGCUCAACCCCGGAAUUGCAGUCGAUACUGCUGUGACUCGAGUCCGGUAGAGGAGAAUGGAAUUCCCGGUGUAGCGGUGAAAUGCGCAGAUAUCGGGAGGAACACCAGUAGCGAAGGCGGUUCUCUGGGCCGGCACUGACGCUGAGGAGCGAAAGCGUGGGGAGCAAACAGGAUUAGAUACCCUGGUAGUCCACGCUGUAAACGUUGGAUACUAGGUGUGGCGGUCUUACCAACGACUGCCGUGCCGAAGCUAACGCAUUAAGUAUCCCGCCUGGGGAGUACGGCCGCAAGGCUA